GUAGGUGGCAAGCGUUGUCCGGAAUUAUUGGGCGUAAAGCGCGCGCCGGCGGUUCUUUAAGUCUGAUGUGAAAGCCCACGGCUCAACCGUGGAGGGUCAUUGGAAACUGGAGAACUUGAGUACAGAAGAGGAAAGCGGAAUUCCACGUGUAGCGGUGAAAUGCGUAGAGAUGUGGAGGAACACCAGUGGCGAAGGCGGCUUUCUGGUCUGUGACUGACGCUGAGGCGCGAAAGCGUGGGGAGCAAACAGGAUUAGAUACCCUGGUAGUCCACGCCGUAAACGAUGAGUGCUAAGUGUUAGGGGGGUUUUCCGCCCCCUUAGUGCUGCAGCUAACGCAUUAAGCACUCCGCCUGGGAUACGGCCGCAAGGCUG
RNAcentral lists this ribosomal RNA (372 nucleotides) under uncultured organism. RNAcentral's name for it is "partial 16S ribosomal RNA". It matches the Rfam family "Bacterial small subunit ribosomal RNA", at positions 527 to 896 of the family's 1533-position model. The record is from RNAcentral.